This 797-nucleotide unclassified non-coding RNA is filed under the name Orbicella faveolata. RNAcentral describes it as "tetratricopeptide repeat protein 28-like, transcript variant X1". Lineage: Eukaryota; Metazoa; Cnidaria; Anthozoa; Scleractinia; Merulinidae. The record is from RNAcentral.
AAUUCCUAAGGAUAUGAUGAUUCUGGCAUUAACUAAAUGCUUCCUUUGUUUCCGAUUAACAACCAAAAUGACAGGUCCUUUUUUGUUUGUUCAGUCUCUGAAAAUCCUCAGUGCUGCCUUCUACAAGACAUUGUUUGUCUAUACAUGUCCAAAUUUUUGGGAGACCUCAACCAUGGAAACUUGUGUUUGGUUUCUGUUUCAAGAGUUGGUAAUCUUCUGAGUGGAUUCAACAAAGACAAACAAACAAACAAACAAACAAACAAACAAAUACAAACAAAUACACAAACAAACAAACAAGCAAAAAACUAAACAAACAACCUAAAACAAAACAAAACUUCCCACCCAUCAAUUUUACACACGUUUGACUUAUUUAUGGAAUGAGAGCCACCACCAAUUCACUAUUUGAUUGUGUUGGUAUUAUCAUUCUUGCAGGUUGAAAAGCAGCUUCCUGAAAAACCCUCCGUUUUAAGCCCAGCAGAUAUUUACUCCCAGUUCACUCCCAAACAGGAGUUAAAAUCCAUUCUCAGAAGACCUUCUGUUGAAGAAAAGGAAAGCAAGAGCUCUUUAGAGAAUAAACCGGCCACUACACAGCAACUUCCAACCAACAGUCCCAACGAAAACAACGAAAAAGAGGAGUUUAACUCAGAAAAGGCAUUUACAGGGAACAUUGUUGAAAAACCAACUUCACAGAAGACUGAACAAGCUACUUCUCAGACAAGUGCAUCCCAACCCGGAAAGAAACUUUCAAGAUUCAAGGCCGCGAGACAGAAGCAACAAUAAAACAUUGUAUACUUGCA